UUGAUGAGUGAUGGCUCUGGAGGUGUGGGGUUCAUGAAGGAGUGCAUAUGUGGAAUUCUCAGGCCCCA
This 68-nucleotide small nucleolar RNA is filed under the name Mus pahari (shrew mouse). RNAcentral's name for it is "snoRNA (MGP_PahariEiJ_G0034820.1)". The record is from RNAcentral. Lineage: Eukaryota; Metazoa; Chordata; Mammalia; Rodentia; Muridae.